Pseudoliparis swirei is the source of this 1067-nucleotide long non-coding RNA. RefSeq lists it as uncharacterized. The record is from RefSeq and is a predicted model, not a curated record. Lineage: Eukaryota; Metazoa; Chordata; Actinopteri; Perciformes; Liparidae. The transcript is spliced from 5 exons.
CUCACGCGGGCUUACUAUCCACUUCCAGUGGAGACCGCAGCGAGCUCGUUUUUAUUCCUUCUUUUCCUUUGACUUGCCCCUCUUUGCUCUGGUUAUGCCCUCGUGUACGGAGGCACCAUCAGCCCUAUUAUGCGUGGCGCCCCUGAGAAACCCAGGCCGUGGAUUGUCCCCGCGUUAGACCUAGUGACAAACUGCUUGUCCUUUCCUGUUAACACUUUUUUUCUCUAUUCUCUUGCAGUAAUUUUUUUGUCAGAGCUCGACUUCGGUUUAGAAAGGUUUUUUAAAACUAAUCUCAUCUGUGUGAAGCAGGAGCGCAGGAGAAGAGUGUCCAAUGAACGGACAGUUAAAGGGGUCAGAGGCAAAGAAUGAGGAGAAAAUGGAGAGCAUGGUCUGCGGGAGAAAGCAAGAAAGACAGAGAAAGAGAGAGAGAGGUAGGAGAAAGAGUACCGGUUCUGGCAAGAAAAACAGGAGGGGGAAGAGCAGAGAAGGGGGACCAGUAGGGGAUAAACUUAGGAAGGAGGGAUGGCUGGAUAGGAAUUGGCAAAAUUGCGGGAAAAAAAAGAGAAAAAAAGAAACUCCAGAAGGAGAAGAAACCGGACUGCUGGUCAAUCUCAGACUUGCAGACCUUGGUCGCAUUUGAUUUUUCUUUUUUGACAUGAUUUUUCAUCACUUCUCCGGUCACCCUCUCAUUCAUCUGUUCAGCCUCUGAGAGAACUUGAACUUUUUCCUUGAAGACGUGAUUUUUUUCAGCAGACUGUCUGGUUGGUGGUGAUGUUCUACAUCGUUGCCUCAGGAAUGCCGUGGUCAACCAUAGAAGCUCCCCAGUGAGAGGAGAGCCAUGGGAAAAACCUCAAACUAGAUCUCAUUUGUGAGAUCCAGUCCAUUUUGUCAAGACGCUGCAUUUCACGUCGGACCGCAUCGGCACCGACGGUAACCGCCCAACAUGAAGUCUAGAGUUAUAUACGUUAUAUUAAUGUGCUUUUUUGGGGGGGGGGAAUGUAAUCUCAUUUAACUUUAAAAUAAUGAAUAAUUCCUAAUAAACAAACAUGGCACAUACAUCACAGAAA